AACGAACGCUGGCGGCAUGCCUAACACAUGCAAGUCGAACGAGACCUUCGGGUCUAGUGGCGCACGGGUGCGUAACGCGUGGGAACCUGCCCUUAGGUUCGGAAUAACUCCACGAAAGGGGUGCUAAUACCGGAUAAUGUCUUCGAACCAAAGAUUUAUCGACUUUGGAUGGGCCCGCGUUGGAUUAGCUAGUUGGUAGGGUAAAAGCCUACCAAGACGACGAUUCAUAGCUGGUUUGAGAGGAUGAUCAGCCACACUGGGACUGAGACACGGCCCAGACUCCUACGGGAGGCAGCAGUGGGGGAUAUUGCACAAUGGGCGAAAGCCUGAUCCAGCAAUGCCGCGUGAGUGAUGAAGGCCUUAGGGUUGUAAAGCUCUUUUACCCGGGAUGAUAAUGACAGUACCGGGAGAAUAAGCUCCGGCUAACUCCGUG
RNAcentral lists this ribosomal RNA (433 nucleotides) under uncultured bacterium. RNAcentral's name for it is "partial 16S ribosomal RNA". It matches the Rfam family "Bacterial small subunit ribosomal RNA", at positions 29 to 507 of the family's 1533-position model. The record is from RNAcentral.